Acanthosepion pharaonis is the source of this 114-nucleotide non-coding RNA. The record is from the annotation of a GenBank genome assembly. Lineage: Eukaryota; Metazoa; Mollusca; Cephalopoda; Sepiida; Sepiidae.
UUACGGCCAUAUCACAUUGAAACAUCUUUUCUCACCCGAGCACCAAAGUUAAGCAACGUCGAACCUUGUUAGUACUUAGGUGAGUAAACACUUGUGAAUACCAGGUGUUGUAAG